UCUCGGUACNNCGCUGUGGGGUGUGGNGCACGGCUGAGUAACRCGUGGGUAACCUGCCCUCGGGRSGGGGAUAAMCCCGGGRAACUGGGGGUAAUACCCGAUAGGCGGACRGGCCUGGAACGGUUGUCCGCCUAAAAGGAUASAAGGGGGAUAUCGCCUUCURUCCGCCCGAGGAUGGGGCUGCGUCCCAUCAGGYUGUUGGCGGGGUAACGGCCCGCCAAACCUGUAACGGGUAGGGGCCGUGAGAGCGGGAGCCCCCAGAUGGGCACUGAGACAAGGGCCCAGGCCCUACGGGGCGCACCAGGSGGGAAACCUCCGCAAUGCGGUAACCCGUGACGGGGUCACCCCGAGUGCUCUCCGUUUGGAGAGCUUUUCCCUACUGUAAAAAGGUAGGGGUAAUAAGUGGGGGGCAAGUCUGGUGUCAGCCGCCGCGGU
Molecule: ribosomal RNA, 435 nt
Filed under: uncultured crenarchaeote
Lineage: Archaea; Thermoproteati; Thermoproteota
Description: partial 16S ribosomal RNA
Rfam family: Archaeal small subunit ribosomal RNA
Source: RNAcentral